RNAcentral lists this ribosomal RNA (253 nucleotides) under uncultured bacterium. RNAcentral describes it as "partial 16S ribosomal RNA". It matches the Rfam family "Bacterial small subunit ribosomal RNA", at positions 524 to 776 of the family's 1533-position model. The record is from RNAcentral.
UACGAAGGGGGCUAGCGUUGUUCGGAAUCACUGGGCGUAAAGCGCACGUAGGCGGACUUUCAAGUCAGGGGUGAAAUCCCGGGGCUCAACCUCGGAAUUGCCUCUGAUACUGUUGGUCUCGAGUCCGGAAGAGGUGGGUGGAAUUCCUAGUGUAGAGGUGAAAUUCGUAGAUAUUAGGAAGAACACCGGUGGCGAAGGCGGCCCACUGGUCCGGUACUGACGCUGAGGUGCGAAAGCGUGGGGAGCAAACAGG